RNAcentral lists this ribosomal RNA (478 nucleotides) under Streptomyces sp. UMB 20. RNAcentral describes it as "bacterial SSU rRNA". It matches the Rfam family "Bacterial small subunit ribosomal RNA", at positions 88 to 582 of the family's 1533-position model. The record is from RNAcentral. Lineage: Bacteria; Bacillati; Actinomycetota; Actinomycetes; Kitasatosporales; Streptomycetaceae.
UGGAUUACUGGCGAACGGGAUGAGUACACGAUGGGCAUCUGCCCUGCACUCUGGGACAGCCCUGGAACGGGGUCUAAUACCGGAUAUGACCGUCCAUCGCAUGAUGGAUGGUGUCAAGCUCCGGCGGUGCAUGAUGAGCCCGCGGCCUAUCAACUAGUUGGUGAGGUAGUGGCUCACCAAGGCGACCACGGGUAGCCGGCCUGAGAGGGCGACCGGCCACACUGGGACUGAGACACGGCCCAGACUCCUACGGGAGGCAGCAGUGGGGAAUAUUGCACAAUGGGCGAAAGCCUGAUGCAUCGACGCCUCGUGAGGGAUGACAGCCUUCGGGUUGUAAACCUCUUUCAUCAGGCAAGAAGCGAAAGUGACUGUACCUGCAGAAGAAGCGCCGGCUACCUACGUGCCAACAGCCGCGGUAAUACUUAGGGCGCAAGCGUUGUCCGGAAUUAUUGGGCGUAAAGAGCUCGUAAGCUGCUUG